GACGAACGCUGGCGGCGUGCUUAACACAUGCAAGUCGAACGAUGAAGCCGGAGCUUGCUCUGGUGAAUUAGUGGCGAACGGGUGAGUAACACGUGAGUAACCUGCCCUUGACUCUGGGAUAACUGCGGGAAACUGUAGCUAAUACCGGAUACGACCCUCGGAGGCAUCUCCUGGGGGUGGAAAGAAUUUCGGUCAAGGAUGGACUCGCGGCCUAUCAGCUAGUUGGUGAGGUAAAGGCUCACCAAGGCGACGACGGGUAGCCGGCCUGAGAGGGUGACCGGCCACACUGGGACUGAGACACGGCCCAGACCCCUACGGGAGGCAGCAGUAGGGAAUAUUGCACAAUGGGCGCAAGCCUGAUGCAGCAACGCCGCGUGAGGGAUGACGGCCUUCGGGUUGUAAACCUCUUUUAGCAGGGAAGAAGCGAAAGUGACGGUACCUGCAGAAAAAGCACCGGCUAACUACGUGCCAGCCGCCGCGGUAA
Molecule: ribosomal RNA, 484 nt
Filed under: uncultured bacterium
Lineage: Bacteria
Description: partial 16S ribosomal RNA
Rfam family: Bacterial small subunit ribosomal RNA
Source: RNAcentral